This 1146-nucleotide ribosomal RNA is filed under the name Candidatus Phytoplasma australasiaticum. Its description in RNAcentral is "bacterial SSU rRNA". It matches the Rfam family "Bacterial small subunit ribosomal RNA", at positions 195 to 1348 of the family's 1533-position model. Lineage: Bacteria; Bacillati; Mycoplasmatota; Mollicutes; Acholeplasmatales; Acholeplasmataceae. The record is from RNAcentral.
UUAAAGACCUAGUAAUAGGUAUGCUUUAGGAGGGGCUUGCGCCAUAUUAGUUAGUUGGUAGGGUAAUGGCCUACCAAGACGAUGAUGUGUAGCUGGACUGAGAGGUUGAACAGCCACAUUGGGACUGAGACACGGCCCAAACUCCUACGGGAGGCAGCAGUAGGGAAUUUUCGGCAAUGGAGGAAACUCUGACCGAGCAACGCCGCGUGAAUGACGAAGUACUUCGGUAUGUAAAGUUCUUUUAUCAAGGAAGAAAAGCAAAUGGCGAACCAUUUGUUUGCCGGUACUUGAUGAAUAAGCCCCGGCUAAUUAUGUGCCAGCAGCCGCGGUAAGACAUAAGGGGCAAGUGUUAUCCGGAAUUAUUGGGCGUAAAGGGUGCGUAGGCGGUCUAGUAAGUCAGUGGUGUAAUGGCAACGCUUAACGUUGUCCGGCUAUUGAAACUGCUAAACUUGAGUUAGAUAGAGGCGAGUGGAAUUCCAUGUGUAGCGGUAAAAUGCGUAAAUAUAUGGAGGAACACCAGAGGCGUAGGCGGCUCGCUGGGUCUUAACUGACGCUGAGGCACGAAAGCGUGGGGAGCAAACAGGAUUAGAUACCCUGGUAGUCCACGCCGUAAACGAUGAGUACUAAGUGUCGGGUUAAACCGGUACUGAAGUUAACACAUUAAGUACUCCGCCUGAGUAGUACGUACGCAAGUAUGAAACUUAAAGGAAUUGACGGGACUCCGCACAAGCGGUGGAUCAUGUUGUUUAAUUCGAAGAUACCCGAAAAACCUUACCAGGUCUUGACAUGUUUUUGCAAAAUGAUAGUAAUAUCGUGGAGGUUACCAGAAACACAGGUGGUGCAUGGUUGUCGUCAGCUCGUGUCGUGAGAUGUUAGGUUAAGUCCUAAAACGAGCGAAACCCUUAUCGUUAGUUGCCAGCACGUUAUGGUGGGGACUUUAACGAGACUGCCAAUGAUAAAUUGGAGGAAGGUGAGGAUCACGUCAAAUCAGCAUGCCCCUUAUGACCUGGGCUACAAACGUGAUACAAUGGCUGUUACAAAGGGUAGCUGAAACGCAAGUUCUUGGCCAAUCCCCAAAAACAGUCCCAGUCCGGAUUGAAGUCUGCAACUCGACUUCAUGAAGUUGGAAUCGCUAGUAAUCGCGAA